CCUACGUGUGGCAGCAGUAGGGAAUUUUGCGCAAUGGGCGAAAGCCUGACGCAGCAACGCCGCGUGAUCGAGACGCCCUUCGGGGUGUAAAGAUCUGUCAGUGGGGACGAAACUUGACGGUACCCACAGAGGAAGCACCGGCUAACUCCGUCCCAGCAGCCGCGGUAAUACGGGGGGUGCAAGCGUUGUCCGGAUUUAUUGGGUUUAAAGGGUGCGUAGGCGGGUUAUCAAGUCAGCGGUAAAAUCGUGGAGCUCAACUCCAUCCAGCCGUUGAAACUGAUGAUCUUGAGUGGGCGAGAAGUAUGCGGAAUGCGUGGUGUAGCGGUGAAAUGCAUAGAUAUCACGCAGAACUCCGAUUGCGAAGGCAGCAUACCGGCGCCCGACUGACGCUGAAGCACGAAAGCGUGGGUAUCGAACAGGAUUAGAUACCCCAGUAGUC
RNAcentral lists this ribosomal RNA (439 nucleotides) under uncultured bacterium. RNAcentral describes it as "partial 16S ribosomal RNA". It matches the Rfam family "Bacterial small subunit ribosomal RNA", at positions 338 to 795 of the family's 1533-position model. The record is from RNAcentral.